This 1132-nucleotide long non-coding RNA is filed under the name Rhinopithecus bieti (black snub-nosed monkey). RNAcentral's name for it is "lncRNA (ENSRBIG00000045029.1)". Lineage: Eukaryota; Metazoa; Chordata; Mammalia; Primates; Cercopithecidae. The record is from RNAcentral.
GGAGGGCAGGUGGCAUAGGCGAUUGAGGGUCCUGUAUCGAGGGGGCUGCGACGGGAGCGCUGUGUACUCACAGUCGAGUGAGACCGGCCGUCGGGCCGGGGCAGCGCAGGGCGCCGUCGGGCGCGCAGUCGCAGGGCUCAGGGCAGCGCGCCUCGCGCAGCGCUCGUGGCAGCAACGGCUGCAGCAGCAGCAGCAGCUUCAGCAGCUGCAGCGCCGAGAACCGCUGCUUCAUGGCCGGCGAACUGGGCUUCUGCGGCUUGCCAGUGUCUUGGACGGCCUCUGAGUGCGGCCCGCACCCCUCUCCCCGCCCCUUGGCCUGCCCUUCCACACACCCUUCCCUGCUGGCCCGCCCCUGCCCUCCGCCUCUUACCGCGCGCCCCGCUGAGUCUGCUCUGCCUUGACCUGCGACAGUGCCCGGUGACCCCAUCAUCUGCUUCCUGCUACUUUCCCCUGUCUUGCCCCCUACCAUCUGCAAAUGGCCCUAGCUAUAGGAGCAGAGAGAUACCAGGGUUCAUUAUGGGCAGCAAUGACGACGAUGGACAAGAAGAUAGAGGUCCUAACCCUAAUUUUCGGAGCACCAUGGAAGCCCCCUGGAUUCUAGGGAGACCUUGAGGAGAAAGAAGACUCCUGUAAAUGCCUGACAUUGAAAUUCUUGCAUGUCUAGGAGCCUGUGAACUCAAAAUGGAAAUUAAUUUGAUUUAAUGAAAAUAAAGAAGGAGAAUUGUUUUGGCAUAUCCCAGUUUCUAGACUGAGAUUCAUAAUGCUGUAGGCACUUAAAAAUUAUCAUCCAUAGAUUAAUGAGUUUACUGAGUGCCAACUCUACUCCGAACAUUAGCAAGACUUUCUGUGUGUAAAGCAAAAAGGCUUAUAUGGCCCUGCCUCAGUCUUCUGAGAACAUGUAGCCUACUUGGAGACAGAAGAUUCAAAUAGGUAGGAGGAGGUUAAUUCCUUACAAGAGGUAAUCCAUCAGGGUCUGAUAACAAGUUAAGAGCUACCCCCUGUACCUAAUUGGUAAAUGAAUGGCCUGGUCAAUGAGCAGCGAGUUCAACUGCUAUCAUAUUAAAGGGAAUUGAGAGAAAAAAGGAAAAACAAUAAGAAUUUUAUGUCUUUUGUUUUACUAAGAAUGAGUUUG